UACGAAGGUCCCAAGCGUUAUCCGGAUUUAUUGGGUUUAAAGGGUGCGUAGGCGGGUUAUUAAGUCAGUGGUGAAAGCCUUCAGCUUAACUGAAGAACUGCCAUUGAUACUGAUGACCUUGAGUAUGAUUGAGGUGGGCGGAAUGUGUCAUGUAGCGGUGAAAUGCUUAGAUAUGACACAGAACACCGAUUGCGAAGGCAGCUCACUAAGCCAUAACUGACGCUGAUGCACGAAAGCGUGGGGAGCAAACAGG
RNAcentral lists this ribosomal RNA (253 nucleotides) under uncultured bacterium. RNAcentral's name for it is "partial 16S ribosomal RNA". It matches the Rfam family "Bacterial small subunit ribosomal RNA", at positions 524 to 776 of the family's 1533-position model. The record is from RNAcentral.